UAGAAGUUUUAGUUGUGUGUUUUCAGCCUAAAAGAAAUCCUGUCUUUUGUUCCAGCUUGUUCUUCUUGUAGGGGCGUCCCAUCUGCACUCCCUUGCAGAUGGGAUUGUGCUGAUGCCAGAGGAUUGCUACACCUUUGGCGUCAUGUCCACUCCAGGGGUGUGCGCUGACUAGCUCAGGACUGAGAAUGAAAAUGCUGUUCUUCCUCGGAUCUCUGAUGCUGUCUGUGUCAUGGCCCCUGGGAACAACCUGACGGCCAGCAAGACGCCUAAGCAAGGAGGCAUAGCUUUUGGCCAAUACCCAGCCACUGUCUGCAGCGUUAGGCCGACUGCACAGGUAGGUUAUUCAUGUAUUCUUUUUAAUGAGGCAGAUGUGUACAGGUCAAUAUGAUUUUGUCAUUAACCAUUAUUAUUUUGUUUAGGUCUUCGCUGGGACCUUGUCCCACACUUGACAGUCCCGGGGGAUAUCCAAGAGUUUUUCCGGCAGGAAUUUCACCACGUGUCAGCACGUCUCGGUGUGAAAUAUUUUCACCACGCUGACCGCUUCCCCCUGAACAACCGCAAGCUGUGGGGCUGUGAUGGUGUGCACCCCAGUGACGACAUGGGGAUGCCUAUCCUCGUGGAGUUGCUGUUGGCUGCCACCAAACAGCACCUGGAGAUACCAGCACCUAAGCCACAGGUAUCAUGCCCGGUGUCUCCCAAGCCUCUGCCAAAGGUGGUUCCACGUGUGAUUAUGGUGGGGGAGGUUAUAGUUCCACGGGCCCCCCCUCCUGAGUGGACGUCUGUACAGUUGGGCAGGAAGAGGAACCACUCUGAACAUGGGCAUGGGUCUGGUUCAUCACAGAGACGAGUGGUUCAUCAUGUGGUAUGCGAUCUUUCAUUUAACCAUGAUAUUUACAUAACAGUGAUAGUUUGUGUGCUUUAUCUAAGAAAAUGACAAGUGUUAGAAAUAAUCUACAUGUCUGUCAACACUCUGCCUUGCGAGAGUGUUUCAUUCAUAUUGUAUAUGGAUUACGCUCGCGUAAUAUCACAUAGGAUUACGCUUGCGCGGGUCCUAGUCCUUUUUUUUUUGUUAACCAACUGGUCUUUUUCUGUGGGUUUGGGUAGUUCCUAGGGGGUAGUCUAGCUGUUCUUAAGUGCAUUCACAAGACACCCAAAGAAGCCCAUAGAGAUACUAUUUGCGUGUCACAGAGGAUAGUCAGGUGUGAGGUUAUGACAAGUUCAAAGAGACAACUCCGUAGUUCUGGUUGGAGGAGGGUUCCUUGGGGGUAGUCUAGCUGUUAUUUUAAGUGCAUUCAAUGGCACAAGACAUGUUCCUGAUCAAAUAUGUAAUGUAAUUAAUGUAUGUAAUAAUUUGCAAUAAAAUUGUAUGAUAUUUUACA
Molecule: non-coding RNA, 1379 nt
Organism: Epinephelus lanceolatus (giant grouper)
Lineage: Eukaryota; Metazoa; Chordata; Actinopteri; Perciformes; Serranidae
Source: RefSeq, a predicted model, not a curated record